GGCAGCACGAUGUAGCAAUACAUUGGUGGCGACCGGCGCACGGGUGAGUAACGCGUAUGCAACCUACCUAUCAGAGGGGAAUAACCCGGCGAAAGUCGGACUAAUACCGCAUAAAACAGGGGUUCCACAUGGAAAUAUUUGUUAAAGAAUUAUCGCUGAUAGAUGGGCAUGCGUUCCAUUAGAUAGUUGGUGAGGUAACGGCUCACCAAGUCCACGAUGGAUAGGGGUUCUGAGAGGAAGGUCCCCCACACUGGUACUGAGACACGGACCAGACUCCUACGGGAGGCAGCAGUGAGGAAUAUUGGUCAAUGGGCGAGAGCCUGAACCAGCCAAGUCGCGUGAAGGAUGAAGGAUCUAUGGUUUGUAAACUUCUUUUAUAUGGGAAUAAAGUGAGGAACGUGUUCCUUUUUGUAUGUACCAUAUGAAUAAGCAUCGGCUAACUCCGUGCCAGCAGCCGCGGUAAUACGGAGGAUGCGAGCGUUAUCCGGAUUUAUUGGGUUUAAAGGGUGCGUAGGUGGUUAAUUAAGUCAGCGGUGAAAGUUUGUGGCUCAACCAUAAAAUUGCCGUUGAAACUGGUUGACUUGAGUAUAUUUGAGGUAGGCGGAGUGCGUGGUGUAGCGGUGAAAUGCAUAGAUAUCACGCAGAACUCCGAUUGCGAAGGCAGCUUACUAAACUAUAACUGACACUGAAGCA
This 693-nucleotide ribosomal RNA is filed under the name uncultured bacterium. RNAcentral's name for it is "bacterial SSU rRNA". It matches the Rfam family "Bacterial small subunit ribosomal RNA", at positions 66 to 753 of the family's 1533-position model. The record is from RNAcentral.